GGGGUUCAGCUCAGUGGUAGAGUGCUUGCCUACCAUGUAUGUGCAAGGCCCUGGGUUUGAUCCCUAGUACCACA
Molecule: transfer RNA, 74 nt
Filed under: Marmota monax (woodchuck)
Lineage: Eukaryota; Metazoa; Chordata; Mammalia; Rodentia; Sciuridae
Description: tRNA.Gly
Source: RNAcentral